Molecule: ribosomal RNA, 443 nt
Filed under: uncultured bacterium
Lineage: Bacteria
Description: partial 16S ribosomal RNA
Rfam family: Bacterial small subunit ribosomal RNA
Source: RNAcentral
CCUACGGGUGGCAGCAGUGGGGAAUAUUGGGCAAUGGGCGCAAGCCUGACCCAGCAACGCCGCGUGAAGGAAGAAGGCUUUCGGGUUGUAAACUUCUUUUGUCAGGGACGAAGCAAGUGACGGUACCUGACGAAUAAGCCACGGCUAACUACGUGCCAGCAGCCGCGGUAAUACGUAGGUGGCAAGCGUUAUCCGGAUUUAUUCGGGGUAAAGGGCGAGUAGGCUGGAAUGCAUGUCAGAUGGGAACACUAUGUGCUCAACCCAUAGCCUGCAUUUGAAACGUUAUUUCUUGAGUGCUGGAGAGGCAAGCGGAAUUCCGUGUGUAGCGGUGAAAUGCGGAGAUAUACGGAGGAACACCAGUGGCGAAGGCGGAUUGCUGGACAGUAACUGACGCUGAGGCGCGAAAGCGUGGGGAGCAAACAGGAUUAGAUACCCCAGUAGUC